This 962-nucleotide ribosomal RNA is filed under the name Adenocephalus pacificus. RNAcentral describes it as "partial 16S ribosomal RNA". The stretch from base 640 to 920 matches the Rfam family "Bacterial large subunit ribosomal RNA", at positions 2074 to 2646 of the family's 2925-position model. The record is from RNAcentral. Lineage: Eukaryota; Metazoa; Platyhelminthes; Cestoda; Diphyllobothriidea; Diphyllobothriidae.
AUUUUAUUAAAUGUACAUUUGAUUUUAUUUGGUUUGAUUGCCUUUUGCAUCAUGCUUUAUGGACUAAAAUCAAUUAAGGUUGUUAACCGAAAAGCUUAGAUUUAGCAUCAGAUUAGUUAGUUUAAUUAGUACAGGUAGUAUAUUUAAAUCUGGUGUUAGCUGUGAUAAAUAAGUCGUUGAGUUUUAUAUCUGUUUUAGAGGGUUUAUUUUGUUAAACUUGUUUGGUGAAGAGAUCAAGCAAGAGAGUAUAGGCGUCAUGUAUAUGUAAUAAUGUUAGGGUUAAAAUUACCUUUUUAUAAAGAGUAUGUUACAAUUUCGUGUUAUUAUUUUAUGCUUUACUUUUGACCUCUCUAUAAUGUUAAUAUGUUGCGUUUAAGUAUCAUAUAAUAAGUAAUUCUAAUAGUUUCUUUGUUUCUCAUCAACAUCCCGUCUGUUUAUUAAAAACAUUUCCAUAUAAUAUAGUAUAUAUGGUAGGACCUGCUCUAUGUGUUAUAAAUGGCCGCAGUAUCUUGACUGUGCGAAGGUAGCAUAAUUAAUUGCUCUUUAAAUGGGGGCUUGUUUGAAUGGUUUGACGAGGUUGUUUUUAACAUAGAAGCUUUUGUUGAAAUUGAUGGUGUGAAUACAGAAUUUACAUUAUUUAAUUAGACGGAAAGACCCUAGGAUCUUUAUGUAUUUUGCUUGGGGCAAGUAAAAAUAGUUUAUUUGUUUUGUGACCCUUUGUGAGUUUAUAGGUUUAAGUUACCCUAGGGAUAACAGAGUAAUAGUUUAUUAGAGUUCUUAUCGAUUAAACUGUUUGCUACCUCGAUGUUGACUUGGGUUAAUGCUCUGGCGCAGUAGUUAGAGGUUUUGGUCUGUUCGACCACAUGUACCCCCAUGAGUUGAGUUAAGACCGGCGUAAGCCAGGUCGGUUCUUAUCUAUUUUUCUAAUUUGUUAGUACGAAAGGAUUGCAAAUUAUUUUAGU